UGGCUCAGUUGGUAAAGAAUCUGCCUGCAAUGCAGGAGACCUGGGUUUGAUCCCCAG
Molecule: transfer RNA, 57 nt
Filed under: Bos taurus (domestic cattle)
Lineage: Eukaryota; Metazoa; Chordata; Mammalia; Artiodactyla; Bovidae
Also listed under: 6 other names
Rfam family: tRNA
About the family: Transfer RNA (tRNA) molecules are approximately 80 nucleotides in length. Their secondary structure includes four short double-helical elements and three loops (D, anti-codon, and T loops). Further hydrogen bonds mediate the characteristic L-shaped molecular structure. tRNAs have two regions of fundamental functional importance: the anti-codon, which is responsible for specific mRNA codon recognition, and the 3' end, to which the tRNAs corresponding amino acid is attached (by aminoacyl-tRNA synthetases). tRNAs cope with the degeneracy of the genetic code in two manners: having more than one tRNA (with a specific anti-codon) for a particular amino acid; and 'wobble' base-pairing, i.e. permitting non-standard base-pairing at the 3rd anti-codon position.
Source: Rfam by way of RNAcentral